Molecule: long non-coding RNA, 1041 nt
Organism: Ictalurus punctatus (channel catfish)
Lineage: Eukaryota; Metazoa; Chordata; Actinopteri; Siluriformes; Ictaluridae
Source: Ensembl
ACUGAAUGUGGAAGCCUGGCUCUUUCCUUCAUCAAGAAGACAAGAGUACUGAUGCGCUUGACACGAGGUUGCGACUUGUAAUUCCCCACCUCCAAGCGGGAAAACGCAAAGCAAACGCACCCUCAACUUGAAAUCGCCAUUCGUCAACAGUGGGAAGUCUUCUCAUCUACCAGUUCCUUCCCUGUUCAUCGAGUGACGUCGAGUCGGCAUGACGGAUUCAGAACUCACAAAGUGGCACUUACCUCGGUGGUUAUUUGCUUUAGAUCAGGGUUGUCCAGUCUUCUCCAGAAUGGGCCAGUGUGGUUGCAGGUUGUCAUUCUAACCAAGCAGAAGCCACACUUUAGUCUAUUGAAAGCCAAGAUCAGCGGAUCCAACAAUUGGAAUCAGGUGUGGCUCCUGCUAGAUUGGAACGAAAAGCUGAAGAUUGGACAACGCUGCUUGAGACCAAUCAGCAUAUAGACAUAUUUGCUUAUUAAAUAUUAAACAUUGACUAUAUAGAUGGCUGAUUGCGGAAAAUGUACACCUCUCAUCACAGUUUGCAUGCUAGCUUGUCGCUAACAAAAGACAGACACGGAGAGACCGCAUGUUCUAACAUUUUCGCCCCUGUUCACGGGUCAAACGUGCCCUGUUGGAUAAUGCUGUGUUUACAAACAGCAAAGAAGCACUAAGAAUUCAAGUGGGAAGCAGAAAGAGUUGUGGGAGGCCUGCAGAGAAGCCAAUGGCACAUUCUGUUGACCCAUUUACUUUCAGGUAGGUGAUUCCUUCCUUUUGUGCCAACUACCAUAAAGCAGCUCCAGAGGCUCCGAGUGAGAAUCCGUGCAUUGGCCGGGAAUCGAACCCGGGUCAACUACUUGGAAGGCAGCUAUGCUCACCUCUAUACCACCAAUGCCAUGCUAGGCAAUUCAACUCUGCUGAACAAAAGUUUAAGUAUGUGCUCUUCUCAUCAGCAGACCAUAGGCAAGAGCCGAAGCGCAGCUCUGUCAUGGUUUCUGUAGUGUGGUGGUUAUCACGUUUGUCUAACACUCAUCACCGUAAGAUCAG